AGUGAACGCUGGCGGUAGGCCUAGCACAUGCCAGUCGAACGGCAGCACAGUAAGAGCUUGCUCUUACGGGUGGCGAGUGGCGGACGGGUGAGGAAUACAUCGGAAUCUACUCUUUCGUGGGGGAUAACGUAGGGAAACUUACGCUAAUACCGCAUACGACCUACGGGUGAAAGCAGGGGAUCUUCGGACCUUGCGCGAUUGAAUGAGCCGAUGUCGGAUUAGCUAGUUGGCGGGGUAAAGGCCCACCAAGGCGACGAUCCGUAGCUGGUCUGAGAGGAUGAUCAGCCACACUGGAACUGAGACACGGUCCAGAGUCCUACGGGAGGCAGCAGUGGGGAAUAUUGGACAGUGGGCGCAAGCCUGAUCCAGCCAUACCACGUGGGUGAAGAAGGCCUUCGGGUUGUAAAGCCCUUUUGUUGGGAAAGAAAAGCAGCAGGUUAAUACCCCGCUGUUCUGACGGUACCCAAAGAAUAAGCACCGGCUAACUUCGUG
RNAcentral lists this ribosomal RNA (492 nucleotides) under uncultured bacterium. RNAcentral describes it as "partial 16S ribosomal RNA". It matches the Rfam family "Bacterial small subunit ribosomal RNA", at positions 29 to 507 of the family's 1533-position model. The record is from RNAcentral.